AUGCUCUUCACAGCCAAGACACCAUCGGUCCUCCCCACAGCUCUGCCAUUUUCUAGUCAGGGGUGGGGCUCAGAUCUAAGGCAUGAGUUGCUGACCACCACGCAGACGGCUCAGGUCCUGACUCCCAUCCUGGAUCCACAGCAAUCAGCUGUGCCCCAGCCCGCACCCUCCCACCAGGACAAGUACUGUGUGCCUUCGCUCCAGCGUGGCCCUCUCCCCAGCGGGCCAGGCAGCCACAGGGCUCCGCCUGCGCGCAGGCUCCAGAACCUGUUGCCAUGGCAACAUGGGGUCCAGGCCUGCCCUGCUCUGGAGAGGAGCCUGAAGCUGAGGACUUCCUUGGGUGAGCAGUGACAUGAAAAUCUGGGCAGCUGUGAUCCAGGCCACACAGGGAGGCAUCAUGUAUCAGGGUGACGGCAAAAGUGUGGGCAUUCAAAUUCUGGCACGGUGACUUCCUUGCUGGGUGACACCAGGUAAGCUAGUAUCUCUCUCUGACCUUCGGUGCCCCCUUCUCCAGGUAUGAAAACUAUGAUACGAGCACCAGCCCUCUGGGAAGUGGGUAAGGACUCUGCCCGUCGUGUUCGUUUGCUGCUGAAAGGGUGACCUUUGCUGUACUUCUCUCAAUGCUGUCAGUUUAGGUAAAGCUCUGGCUCAGGGCGAAUGCUCCGGAAGUGAGGCUGUCUCAGUGAGCAGGGUGCUCCAGGACCAGCAGGUGAGCAGCAAAAGGUGCAGUGAGAGCAGACCAGGUGCCAGACGGGACUUGUCUCCCAGUCUGUCUGGCCCGGGUUCCCUCACCCUGGGGGGCUUUACUCCAUUUCCAGCCAGCUUCCAGGACAGGUACAUCAGAGCUGCCCGUCCAAACAUCCUCUUCCUUGUCUGGAGACUGGAGGAGCUAAAAAUGCAUUGCCUUGGCCCUGGGAAAACAAACACGACGCUUCCCUUGCCUUUGUCUACAGGACACGAGGUCCAAGGCUGCGAAGGCAGUGUGGUGGCUGCUCCAGGCUUCCCUAGGCCUGCGGGGGCAGGGGCAGGGGGUCGGGUAUCUGUCUGUCUGCCUUCUUGGGGUCUCUCCUGCCUCCCUCACCGCCUCAAUGGCCUGAGCCUCAACCAGGGUGGGAGGUGUCUAACAGGACACAUGCUGUGGCCUCCCCAGCUGUGGGCUGCUAGCCCUGCCUCUGGAGUUCACCGGUGGGUGUGUGUGUGCACACACGUGUGCAGCUUAGAGUGCUAAUAACGCACACAGGGACAACUGAUGACACUGCUGGACCGCCUGCUCCUGCUCUCAACACUCAAGAUGUCUUAACUCAUUUGACUCUGUGAGGCAAUUACGAUCAUCAUUCACGUUUUACAGAUGAGGAAACCAAGGCUCGGAGAAGUGGGAUGACUCGUUGAAGGUGACGAGCUAAUACGUGGUAAAGUGGGGCUUUGAACCCAGGCAGUUUUUGCUGGGAAGCCUUGUCCGCUGCCCUUGCUAAGUCUCAGUUUCCUCAUCUGUGAAAUGAGCACGCACAAUGUAACACUUCCCUCUCCAGGUGAUCGUGGGGGCAAGGCAAGGGCAAAGGCCUUGCCAUCAGGGAGGCAGGGGACUGGCCAGUGAGGGGGUCUGGGGGAGCCGAUGGCAGCUACAGGGUGCAGGAGCAGAGGACACACUUGGCCAUCACUCAGCUCGGGCUGGGGUCUCAGGCCAUUUGUGGGCUGGUCUUGGACCGUCCCCAGCUUGACGCUCAAGUUCCUCUUCCAUCAAGCUGGGAAAAGCUAACUUGCCUGGCAGAGGUACUUCCAGGGCUCCCUCUGCAGAGCAGGAAUACCCAGGACACACCGUUCCCAUCCUUCUGGACUUGAGGGCACCUGAGGGUGGGCUUGAAUCCAACUCCUCCCCCAGCCCCUGGUCCCCACUCCCAUGGUAUGAGAUGCUUUCAAUGGACGAGGGUUUAGCUUGCUCUAAACACAGUCCCCAAAGCCCCUAGCUUUGGGCAGGCCCCCUCCAGCACCUAUUUGAGGGCUUCGGCUGCUCAGUUUUCCACUUGGGUCAGACCUAUUUGGGGUGAGGGGGAAUGAGAAUUAUGGGAGUGUGGCCUCCACCUAUCAUAAUUCACUCCCAGCCCUCCUGGAAAGCCUGGUUCCUCAGCGGUCCCAGUGCCAAAGAUGGGCUGGGUUCUUCAAGGGGGUGCCCCUCAGAUAUCUUGUGCACCUCAGUUUAGAGGCUCAUGUUCCAAGCUCCCUCCCCAACUUUUUCCACCCUUCAGAUGGAAGCAACAGGCCAGGAAGAAACAGGUAAGAUGUUGACUCAUUUAUUUGUUUCUUCAACAGAUAUUUAUUGAGCAACUACUGUACAGCAGGAGCUGAAAUGGGUGUAGUCUAGUGCCAGACCCAUAAAAGGGCAACGACAAUGCCAUGGGGCAGGGGGGGUUCCCUGGUGGCUCAGAUGGUCAAGAGUCUGCCUGCAACACAGGAAACCUGGGUUCAAUCCCUGGGACGGGAAGAUCCCUGGAGAAGGAAAUGGCUACCCGCUCCAGUACUCUUGCCCGGAGAAUCCCAUGGACAGAGGAGACUGGUGGGCUACAGUCCAUGGGGUCGCAAAGAGUCAGACAUAACUAAGUGACUAACACAUCCACUUUCAAUACUAUGGGGGACAUGCUGUGGGAACCCAGAGUAAGCACCAAGCCUGAGGGCUUCCUGGAGGAGGUGUUGGUUAAGCCCAGCCUAUCAAGAGAAAAAGUAGGAGGUGUUCGUCCCCCUCCCUGCCACGCCCAUAUUGAUAUGGUGCUUGCUGCAGGAAAGGGCUCUGCUCAGCAUGGCAUUCAGGUCCAUGUGCCAUGUGGUCCCUGCUGCCUCUGCUGUGGUCCCCGUCUUGCCACUUCUAACCAGUGUGCAAAGGCAUCUUAGGUUGGAAUGAUUUAUGCCUCCCUAACUCAAGAGGCUGGCGGUCCCAGAGUGCCAGGGCUGGCUCUCCUUCCCGAUUCCAUUCCCGAGUGUUUCACACAGGGCCUGCAUGCAGUGGGUGCCCAACGAUGCUGCUCCCAGUAGCCUUCUCCCAUCACAUCCCCCUUCUGAGGCUGAGCUGUGUGCGCUCCCUUUGUGCUCCUACAGCACUCUGUAUUUAAGUCAAAACUCAUAUUGGUACAGCACUCUCAGUUGGCAAGGUGCUUUUUCAGGGGUUUGUGUGUUUGAUUUGGUGUGUUUUGUUUGGUGUUUGUGUGUUUAAAGCUCAUCAAAGCCCUGUGUAAGAAGUGCCGUUGCGGUCAUCGCCAUCACCUGCCGGGACACGGCACAGCGUGGUGGUUUAAGCAAACGUGUGAGCGCAGCAGCCGGAUGACCUGAAUUCAAGUCCUGACUCCACAGCUAUGUGACCUUGAACUCUGUGGUUAUGUGACCUUGCUUCACUGACUCCAUUUACAAGACAGAAGCAAACAUAUCUCACUGGAGCACUGAAGAUCAUAUGCAGAGUAAUAAGAACACUACCAGCCAUAAGGACACCUCAGUCAUAAUGGUAGCUAUUGUCAAUUAUAAAGAAGGAUACAGAAGGUCAAGGUCAAGGUCACCUAGCUGUCCAGUGGAGCAGGGUUUUAUCUCUAAGUCUGCAGACUUCAAAUCUUGGGUUUGGGGAUUAUCUUCCCAUCUUCCCCACCCCAUCCCCCUUGUCACCCUGUCUCCUAAUUUAUCUGUUCGUGCCUCUGUCUGUCCUUCCACAUGGGGCUCUUCCAGAGCAGUAUCAGCACCAAGCCGUCUCCCCAGUGCCUGGACGGUGCCUGGCCACGGGGGACUGUGUUGAAGGAAUGACGCAUUCCAUGUACCAGGCAUCCUGUUCUGUGCUUCCACAUGGAUUAUCUGUGCCUCCAGACCACUCUAUGAAGUAGAUAACAAUUCUUCUACAACUGUCUUCAGCUCCAAUAAAGCACUUAUUGGUCUGGAUAUAUAUGAAUACUUGUGAAUUCAUCACACCCAGCCAAGACGACAAAUGUUUUCACCCUCCCCCUCCAAAAAUGUCCCAUGCUUCUUGGAAAUCCUUCCCUCCCUCCAAUUGUAGAUUUCUCUCCAGUUUCGAGAUAGGGAAGGAAAUCGAGGGACUGAGAAGUUAGACUUUCCAGAGACACUUGGUCAGCAAGUGGCCACGCCAGUAUUUGAACCAAGAUGACCCGUCCGCGGCCAAGCUGCCUUGGCGGUAAUGGGAAGAGGGUGGGAGUGUGUGGCGGUCUGUAGAGACACCCCCCCCGGGAGGUCCUCCCUCCUCACCGCCCCUGCUCAGGCCCAAGAAGACAAUCUAGGAAGAGAUGGUCGGUGUGUCUCUCAGAAGGGUGUGUGCACAUGUGAGGAGCAGGCUGCCACCCCAUAGGGAUGUUUGGGUACAAAGGGCAGACGACAAAGACAGCACAAGGAGACCAGAUAAAGGUGUCCUCAAGCCAGGAGCCGGGUGAUGCGGUGGGCCUGCGGGCCUCAUGGUGGGUGCUGGGCUCCGCGUGUGAGCGUGUGACUCUGUGACUGACCGUGUGACUGCUGAAGGCAGGGACAUAGCAGCUCCAGGAGCUGGGGGGGCGGAAGGCGUUAACCGUAUGAAUGCUGGCGUGGGGUGGGGGUGGGGAGACCCGGCCUCCAACCUGGGGGCUGAGGGAGGUAGUAAACAUCAGGGUGAUUGGAGGAGCAUGAUGGCGGCCCUACAAGGAUGCUGCAGGGUUGUGGGGUUUGUGUGACUUUGCAGUUCAACAUUUUCAAAUUCAGCCAAUGCCGGCAGCGCCUGUUGUGUGCCAGGCAACCGGCUAGGAGGAGAUGAGCGUAUCAGGCUUUUGGCUGCAUGGUUCGGGCUGCAGGGUUUGUGUGAUCACCUUGUGGCUCGUUUGGGGCUGGGUGCUUUUUGCCCUCUCCAGGCAUUAAGUCCUCACAAUCCACCCACCCCACUUUGAGGCGAGAUGGAGGAGCACAGAGAGGAAGUGACUUGCCCAAGGUGACCCAGCUACUCAGCGCCAGGCAGGAUUGCAGAGCCUGAGUGCUUCAGCACCACGCCUGGGCUAGGGCCGCAAACCUCCAGUCUUGGAGGUGCCGCCUUGGAAUCCUGCAAGCCAGCGGCUUGGGAGACACCCUGGCCCCCAACCACGUGGGCUAGAAACCAGGCCACAGACACUGCUGAGGGGCCCAGCGUUUGAUGGUCCCUAGUUCUCCCUUGCCAGGGACCGGAUUCCUGGGCAGAGGGGAGGCGGGGCUUUCGGAGACCCCUAAGUUCCCCCUCCUCGCCUCAGGCCCUCCUGGAGCCUUCCCCACCCUCCCGUUACUGACUCUCGGCCAGAAGAGGAAAAGCUGUCUCCACCCACCUCUCGCACUCUCCCGUCUCCUUU
RNAcentral lists this long non-coding RNA (5324 nucleotides) under Bos grunniens (domestic yak). RNAcentral's name for it is "lncRNA (ENSBGRG00000003106.1)". Lineage: Eukaryota; Metazoa; Chordata; Mammalia; Artiodactyla; Bovidae. The record is from RNAcentral.